This 407-nucleotide ribosomal RNA is filed under the name uncultured bacterium. Its description in RNAcentral is "partial 16S ribosomal RNA". It matches the Rfam family "Bacterial small subunit ribosomal RNA", at positions 30 to 526 of the family's 1533-position model. The record is from RNAcentral.
AUUGAACGCUGGCGGCAGGCCUAACACAUGCAAGUCGAGCGGAGCGGCGGACGGGUGAGUAAUGCCUAGGUAUCUGCCUGGUAGUGGGGGAUAACGUCAGGAAACGGGCGCUAAUACCGCAUACUAUCAGAUGAGCCUAGGUCGGAUUAGCUGGUUGGGGGGGUAAAGGUCUACCAGGGCGACGAUCCGUAACUGUUCUGAGAGGAUGAUCAGUCACGCUGGAACUGAGACAGGGUCCAGACUCCUACGGGAGGUAGCAGUGGGGAAUAUUGGACAAUGGGCGAAAGCCUGAUCCAGCUAGGCCGCGUGUGUGAAGAAGGUCUUCGGAUUGUAAAGCACUUUAAGUUGGGAGGCGUUACCAACAGAAUAAGCACCGGCUAACUACGUGCCAGCCGCCGCGGUAAGUC